Nerophis ophidion (straightnose pipefish) is the source of this 809-nucleotide long non-coding RNA. RefSeq lists it as uncharacterized. The transcript is spliced from 4 exons. The record is from RefSeq and is a predicted model, not a curated record. NCBI's taxonomy places the organism in Eukaryota, Metazoa, Chordata, Actinopteri, Syngnathiformes, Syngnathidae.
AGAGGAUGCAGCGCAGGCGAAUACUGCACACCGUCUACCAAUAAAAGACAAAGAGGUUUCUUUGAAGCUCAACCGCACCAAAAGGCUUCUGUUGGACCCUGUAGGACAGUGGUUCUCAAAUGGGGGUACGCGUACCCUUGGGGGUACUUGAAAGUAUGCCAAGGGACAGGAACCCGCUUUUCCUCGGCAGCUGGAGCUGCCGGGACUUUUGCUGGCAGCACGCUUGGACACGCCCCUGCUCAUGCUGGGCGCAGCUCGCCCACACAGCAACAAGGCUUCAGGCAAUUGCGCAUUAGCGCACCUGGACCUGAUGACCGGGAGCGGCAUAAAAGCCAGCGAACCCAAGAGACCUUUGCCAGAACGUAGCCAAUCUUCCUGAUGUCUUCCCUGUUGCCUGUGAUCGUGUCUCACCUCACGACCUCCUCCUGGAUCUCUGCUUACCUCCCUCGAUCCUCGACCCCUGCUUUGACACGGACAUUGUUGCCUCUCUCCAGCCCCUGACUGCUUGCCUCCCCGCUGACUGCCUCUUUGUCUUCUCCCUUGGAUUCGGCAAAAGAUUCAUUCAACACGCACCGACAACAUCCUCUGGUAAAAGUCACAUUGAAAAUUUCACACAUCGUCCGCACUCAUUCACUUGUGGUCGCAUACACAUCCCACACAGGGGCGCCGCUAGGGAUUUUGGGCCCCAUGAAAAGAAUCUUUACAGGGCCCCCAACACAUAAUUUCAUAUAAUUUCAUCAUCAUUAGGGGCCUCUCUGGGCCCCCCUCCAUCAUGGGCCCUUAGAAUCCGUCUCCUUCUCGGCGCCUCU